Molecule: long non-coding RNA, 981 nt
Filed under: Citrus sinensis (sweet orange)
Lineage: Eukaryota; Viridiplantae; Streptophyta; Magnoliopsida; Sapindales; Rutaceae
Description: long non-coding RNA (CSIN_LNC005609)
Source: RNAcentral
CCAGUAUCCUUGUCACCACACAAGUUUCCAGCGAACAAACUGAAUUCUGGCAGUUGCCUAAAUAGGCUUCUAAAUAUCCUUAGCCUGAUUUCAUGGAUAACUGAAACAAAUUUACUGAAGCUUAAUCUUAAGAGUUUCAAAACAGUAAAAAAGACGAUAUAGUUGAUGACAAAAACCUGAGUUAUCCAUAGCGACAGGUUCGGGUUCAGGCUGAUGAAAAGAACCGCAGCUUCUGACAUGAGGACUUUCUUGGCAAUAGCAUGGGCAGCCAUCAAAACCCCAAAUUUCCCAAUAAUGCAAUCAUACUUACGGCUGUCACUUGAUAGCACCUAAAUGCACCAAAAGAAAAAAAAAAGCUAACAAUGUCCAACCAUGAAAGUUAUUCAAACUUUUGGAAGAAUUUGGAGAAAGGAAAUGGUUUCAUCGUCUGAAUGAAGAAUACUUUUCUUUGUGUUCUGUUUCUGUUUUAUCUUGUAACAGAUGGAAAUAAAAUUUCCUAAUUUAGAUAAAUCAGUCAAAACGUGUACUUUUUAGAAUUACCUGAGUUUAAGCUUUCACUAAAAACCUUCUCUUUUCCACAGUCCUGCUCUGCCUGCUUCACGUGUACCUUUAGCACCAAUGAAAUUAAAAAUUUAUCAAUCAACUGGUAAAAAGACGAAUUAUGGAGACUUGUGAAUCAGACGCUGGUCUAAAGAAAAUAAGGCUGAAGAAACUGCCAAUAAUUUACCUCCUUUUGCACCAUUCUCACUCCUCAGCACUUGUCCUUCAUUUGUCAAAAAUGACUCCGUUCAGGAGUCUCAAUGAAAGUUGCCUAACAUUCAAUGACAGACAGAAAACAUAAAUUACCAUCAUUACACUCAUAUCAAAAUUUUAGAAACUGUCACAUAUAUUCCAGAUACAGAAAAUGAUUCAAGAUACUUUAUGCUUCUUGAUUAGAUAACAAAUAAAAACAAAGCAGGAGAAUAAAUUGCCUGAGGCUGA